ACCUGCAUCUGUAAUUAAACAACAUAAACUAGACACUCCCUGUUCAACUCCACAUCCAUCAGGCAACCAUUGACAUCGAUGCUUCACUUCAGUUUCUUCUGAAUUUGUCUAAAACUUUGACAUGUCCAAAUUAAGCGAAAGCAAAAAUCUGGAUGUGCUUUAGAUGUAUCGUGGAGAGAGCAUCGCCAUAAAACAUUUGAGAACUAGCUUGUAUGGUACCACAUACUGCCUGCUACC
RNAcentral lists this long non-coding RNA (237 nucleotides) under Oryza brachyantha (malo sina). Its description in RNAcentral is "long non-coding RNA (OBRA_LNC003322)". Lineage: Eukaryota; Viridiplantae; Streptophyta; Magnoliopsida; Poales; Poaceae. The record is from RNAcentral.